AAAGUCGUAACAAGGUCUCCGUAGGUGAACCUGCGGAGGGAUCAUUACCGAGUGCGGGCCCUCGCGCCCAACCUCCCAACCCUUUGUCGAUUCGUAUCUGUUGCCUCGGGGGGCGACCCGGACGUCACGUCCGGGAGUCCCCCAGAGGUCCAACCCACCACACUGCGUCUUUGCGUCGGAGUAUUGAAAACAAAUCAAUCAAAACUUUCAACAACGGAUCUCUUGGUUCUG
RNAcentral lists this unclassified non-coding RNA (231 nucleotides) under Paradevriesia pseudoamericana. Its description in RNAcentral is "Devriesia pseudoamericana partial internal transcribed spacer region". The stretch from base 1 to 47 matches the Rfam family "Eukaryotic small subunit ribosomal RNA", at positions 1785 to 1831 of the family's 1831-position model. Lineage: Eukaryota; Fungi; Ascomycota; Dothideomycetes; Capnodiales; Paradevriesiaceae. The record is from RNAcentral.